UUUCCUUUAGCUUAAAUAAAGCGUUAGUUUGAAGCUCUGAAGUUAACUUGUGUUAGGGAGGU
Molecule: transfer RNA, 62 nt
Filed under: Anindobothrium lisae
Lineage: Eukaryota; Metazoa; Platyhelminthes; Cestoda; Phyllobothriidea; Phyllobothriidae
Description: tRNA-Phe
Source: RNAcentral